UACGUGGGGUGCAAGCGUUAAUCGGAAUUACUGGGCGUAAAGCGUGCGCAGGCGGUUUUGUAAGUUUGUCGUGAAAGCCCCGGGCUCAACCUGGGAAUGGCGAUGAAGACUGCAAGGCUUGAAUCUGGCAGAGGGGGGUAGAAUUCCACGUGUAGCAGUGAAAUGCGUAGAGAUGUGGAGGAACACCGAUGGCGAAGGCAGCCCCCUGGGUCAAGAUUGACGCUCAUGCACGAAAGCGUGGGGAGCAAACAGG
Molecule: ribosomal RNA, 253 nt
Filed under: uncultured bacterium
Lineage: Bacteria
Description: partial 16S ribosomal RNA
Rfam family: Bacterial small subunit ribosomal RNA
Source: RNAcentral